RNAcentral lists this ribosomal RNA (149 nucleotides) under Capsicum annuum. Its description in RNAcentral is "5.8S ribosomal RNA". It matches the Rfam family "5.8S ribosomal RNA". From Rfam's summary of the family: 5.8S ribosomal RNA (5.8S rRNA) is a component of the large subunit of the eukaryotic ribosome. It is transcribed by RNA polymerase I as part of the 45S precursor that also contains 18S and 28S rRNA. Functionally, it is thought that 5.8S rRNA may be involved in ribosome translocation. The record is from Rfam by way of RNAcentral. Lineage: Eukaryota; Viridiplantae; Streptophyta; Magnoliopsida; Solanales; Solanaceae.
GACUCUCGGCAAUAGAUAUCUCGGCUCCUGCAUCGAUGUAGCAAAAUAUGAUACUUAUUGUGAAUUGUAGAAUUCCGUGAACCAUAGAGUAUUUGAACGCAAGUUGCGCCCGAAGCCACUAGGCCGAGGGAACGUCUGCCUGGGAAUCA